AAUAGAUACCCGGGUAGUCCACGCUGUAAACGUUGGACACUAGGUGUGGCGGUCUGAUCAACGACUGCCGUGCCGAAGCUAACGCAUUAAGUGUCCCGCCUGGGGAGUACGGCCGCAAGGCUAAAACUCAAAGGAAUUGACGGGUCCCCGCACAAGCGGCGGAGCAUGCGGCUUAAUUCGAUGCAACCCGAAGAACCUUACCUGGGUUUGACAUCAUGGGAAAAGCCGUGGAAACACGGUGUCCGAAAGGGCCCAUGACAGGUGGUGCAUGGCUGUCGUCAGCUCGUGUCGUGAGAUGUUGGGUUAAGUCCCGCAACGAGCGCAACCCUUGUCCUAUGUUGCCAGCGGUUCGGCCGGGGACUCAUAGGAGACUGCCGGGGAUAACUCGGAGGAAGGUGAGGACGAUGUCAAGUCAUCAUGCCCCUUAUAUCCAGGGCUGCACGCAUGCUACAAUGGUCGGUACAACGGGUCAGCGAUCCUGCGAAGGUGAGCGAAUCCCACAAAGCCGGCUCAGUUCGGA
RNAcentral lists this ribosomal RNA (520 nucleotides) under uncultured bacterium. RNAcentral describes it as "bacterial SSU rRNA". It matches the Rfam family "Bacterial small subunit ribosomal RNA", at positions 777 to 1297 of the family's 1533-position model. The record is from RNAcentral.